GUAUUAAUACCAGUAUAAUUUGUUUGAAAGCCCACUAUACCAAUAUACCUAGAAAAAAAGCCACGAGAAAACUACGCAUAAACAACGGACACUCAUAUAUAAGCAUGAUAGACAACAGCAGAAUAUACUUAGCCUUCAACAUUCAAUAUUCAUGGUUUGGGAUGAAAAAACGAUAACAGAUAAGCGACAGUAAAAUGAGUAAAGAAGAGUUACAUUCACUGUUAUUUUUGUUGAAAUAUUGAUGACGUCGACAAUUCCAAUUUUGAUUUUAUUAAAUGGAGAUUCUGAUAAACUACAAAAUUGUUGUUCAAAUUUGAAUAAUUUAAAAUCUUUUAUUUUCACGCAGUGCCUUCCCUUGAUAUGAUCACAAAACUGGUAGGAAGAAAGAUGAUUAUGAUUUUCAAACUGAGUUUCCAUUAUAUGAUGAGCAAAAAAAAGUAAGUAAAAGAUUUAAUAAUAACG
Molecule: long non-coding RNA, 462 nt
Filed under: Mytilus galloprovincialis (Mediterranean mussel)
Lineage: Eukaryota; Metazoa; Mollusca; Bivalvia; Mytilida; Mytilidae
Source: RNAcentral